This 467-nucleotide ribosomal RNA is filed under the name uncultured bacterium. RNAcentral's name for it is "bacterial SSU rRNA". It matches the Rfam family "Bacterial small subunit ribosomal RNA", at positions 29 to 506 of the family's 1533-position model. The record is from RNAcentral.
AUGAACGCUGGCGGCGUGCCUAAUACAUGCAAGUCGAACGAGGCGCUCGAGUAGCAAUACGAGAGUGUCCUAGUGGCGAACGGGUGAGUAACGCGUGGGUGACCUGCCCCAAAGUGUGGGAUAACAGUUCGAAAGGAUUGCUAAUACCUCAUGUGGUCUCCGGGUUUAGAAACCGGCGACUAAAGCAGCAAUGCGCUUUGGGAGGGACCUGCGUCCCAUCAGCUAGUUGGCGAGGUAACGGCUCACCAAGGCGACGACGGGUAGGGGACCUGAGAGGGUGGCCCCCCACAAUGGAACUGGAACACGGUCCAUACACCUACGGGUGGCAGCAGUAGGGAAUAUUGCUCAAUGGGCGAAAGCCUGAAGCAGCAACGCCGCGUGCGCGAUGAAGGCCCUCGGGUCGUAAAGCGCUUUUCUACGAGAUGAGAAAGGACAGUAUCGUAGGAAUAAGUCUCGGCUAACUACGU